UACAGAGGGUGCGAGCGUUAAUCGGAAUCACUGGGCGUAAAGCGCACGUAGGCGGAUCUUUAAGUCAGGGGUGAAAUCCCAGAGCUCAACUCUGGAACUGCCUUUGAUACUGGGGAUCUCGAGUUCGGGAGAGGUGAGUGGAACUGCGAGUGUAGAGGUGAAAUUCGUAGAUAUUCGCAAGAACACCAGUGGCGAAGGCGGCUCACUGGCCCGAUACUGACGCUGAGGCGCGAAAGCGUGGGGAGCAAACAGG
RNAcentral lists this ribosomal RNA (253 nucleotides) under uncultured bacterium. Its description in RNAcentral is "partial 16S ribosomal RNA". It matches the Rfam family "Bacterial small subunit ribosomal RNA", at positions 524 to 776 of the family's 1533-position model. The record is from RNAcentral.